GAGGGUAUAGCUUAGUGGUAGUGUGUGCUUAGCACACACGAGGUCCUGGGUUCAAUCCCCAGUACCUCCA
Molecule: transfer RNA, 70 nt
Organism: Camelus ferus (Wild Bactrian camel)
Lineage: Eukaryota; Metazoa; Chordata; Mammalia; Artiodactyla; Camelidae
Rfam family: tRNA
About the family: Transfer RNA (tRNA) molecules are approximately 80 nucleotides in length. Their secondary structure includes four short double-helical elements and three loops (D, anti-codon, and T loops).
Source: Rfam